GGAAUUCUGGGCGUAAAGCGCGCGUAGGCGGCUUUGUAAGUUAGAGGUGAAAGCCUGGAGCUCAACUCCGGAACUGCCUUUAAGACUGCAGAGCUAGCAGGUGACAGAGGUAAGUGGAAUUCCGAGUGUAGAGGUGAAAUUCGUAGAUAUUCGGAAGAACACCAGUGGCGAAGGCGGCUUACUGGCUCAUACUGGACGCUGAUGUGCGAAAGCAUGGGGAGCAAACAGGAUUAA
RNAcentral lists this ribosomal RNA (234 nucleotides) under uncultured Sphingomonas sp. RNAcentral's name for it is "partial 16S ribosomal RNA". It matches the Rfam family "Bacterial small subunit ribosomal RNA", at positions 547 to 781 of the family's 1533-position model. Lineage: Bacteria; Pseudomonadati; Pseudomonadota; Alphaproteobacteria; Sphingomonadales; Sphingomonadaceae. The record is from RNAcentral.